GACAGAGGUCCCAAGCGUUAGGCGGAAUCACUGGGCUUAAAGCGUGUGUAGGCGGAUGCCUAAGUACCUUGUGAAAUCCCACGGCUCACCCGUGGAACUGCUUGGUAUACUGGGUGUCUUGAGCCACUUAGGGGCUACCGGAACAAAUGGUGGAGCGGUGAAAUGCGUAGAUAUCAUUUGGAACGCCAAUGGUGAAAACAGGUAGCUGGGAGUGUGCUGGCGCUGAGACACGAAAGCCAGGGGAGCAAACGGG
Molecule: ribosomal RNA, 253 nt
Filed under: uncultured bacterium
Lineage: Bacteria
Description: partial 16S ribosomal RNA
Rfam family: Bacterial small subunit ribosomal RNA
Source: RNAcentral